AUGGCACAACCUAUAGCUAACUUGAUAGAGCCCAUUGAUUUCUGUAUUGAUAUACAGAUCAAGAGAGAUCGUGGAUAUCAGACAGAACUCAAAAAGAACUAUCAAGAUGGAAGUUAUCCUAUAGAUGCUGUAUCCAUGCCUGUUCGAAAUGUGAAUUAUAGUAUUUUUUCUUGUGGGUAUGGAAAUGAAAAACACGAGAUACUUUUUCUAGAAAUAUGGACUAAUGGAAGUUUAACCCCUAAGGAAGCACUUUAUGAGCCUUCUCAUAAUUUGAUUGAUUUAUUUCUUCCUUUUCUACACGCGGAGGAAGAGGGCGCUAGUUUCGAAGAAAAUAGAAACAGGUUUACUCCACCCCUUUUUACUUUUCAAAAAAGAUUAACUAAUCUAAAGAAAAACAAAAAAGAAAUUCCAUUGAAUUUUAUUUUUAUUGAUAAAUUAGAAUUGACUUCUAGAACGUAUAAUUGUCUAAAAAGGGCCAAUAUACAUACACUAUUGGACCUUUUGAGUAAGACCGAAGAAGAUCUUCUAAGAAUUGACAGUUUUCGUAUGGAAGAUAGAAAACAUAUAUGGGACACUCUAGAGAAGCAUCUCCCAAAUGAUUUACUUAAGAAUAAACUCUCGUUUUAA
RNAcentral lists this ribosomal RNA (627 nucleotides) under Triticum aestivum (bread wheat). RNAcentral's name for it is "partial small subunit ribosomal RNA". Lineage: Eukaryota; Viridiplantae; Streptophyta; Magnoliopsida; Poales; Poaceae. The record is from RNAcentral.